UGGGGAAUAUUGGACAAUGGGCGAAAGCUGAUCCAGCCAUGCCGCGUGUGUGAAGAAGGUCUUCGGAUUGUAAAGCACUUUAAGUUGGGAGGAAGGGCAUUAACCUAAUACGUUGGUGUCUUGACGUUACCGACAGAAUAAGCACCGGCUAACUCUGUG
This 159-nucleotide ribosomal RNA is filed under the name unidentified bacterium WP4. RNAcentral describes it as "partial 16S ribosomal RNA". It matches the Rfam family "Bacterial small subunit ribosomal RNA", at positions 355 to 507 of the family's 1533-position model. Lineage: Bacteria; Pseudomonadati; Pseudomonadota; Gammaproteobacteria. The record is from RNAcentral.